GGAUUGGAAAUGGGCGAAAGCCUGAUCCAGCAAUGCCGCGUGAGUGAGGAAGGUCUUCGGAUUGUAAAGCUCUUUCGGCGGGGACGAUGAUGACGGUACCCGCAGAAGAAGCCCCGGCUAACUUCGUGCCAGCAGCCGCGGUAAUACGAAGGGGGCUAGCGUUGCUCGGAAUGACUGGGCGUAAAGGGCGCGUAGGCGGUGAGUACAGUCAGACGUGAAAUUCCCGGGCUCAACCUGGGGGCUGCGUUUGAUACGUGCUUGCUUGAGUUCGGAAGAGGGUCGUGGAAUUCCCAGUGUAGAGGUGAAAUUCGUAGAUAUUGGGAAGAACACCGGUGGCGAAGGCGGCGACCUGGUCCGAUACUGACGCUGAGGCGCGAAAGCGUGGGGAGCAAACAGGAUUAGAUACCCUGGUAGUCCACGCCGUAAACGAUGUGUGCUGGAUGUUGGGCGGUCUGACCGUUCAGUGUCGUAGCUAACGCGAUAAGCACACCGCCUGGGGAGUACGGCCGCAAGGUUGAAACUCAAAAGAAUUGACGGA
This 538-nucleotide ribosomal RNA is filed under the name uncultured bacterium. RNAcentral's name for it is "bacterial SSU rRNA". It matches the Rfam family "Bacterial small subunit ribosomal RNA", at positions 359 to 917 of the family's 1533-position model. The record is from RNAcentral.